AGCUCGGCGCUGACAGGGCGGCGCGCGGAGGCGCUGCUGGACGGGACGGGCGGCUCCUGCCCGCCGCAGAUGAGUUCAGGGAGACUGGUUUAAGCAGUGCAGAAGUUCAUGGAUGGAAGAAGAGUCCUCGUUUCAGAGCACCUAAACAUGAAGAUUUUGUAAACGCCAUUAGGAGAACUGGCGUGCAGGAGGAAUGGAUCUCAUCUGUCUGCUGUGAUUCUUGACCCACCUAAUUGGCUAAUGGCCAUGAGCAAUAACAGCGUGGCUCAGGGGAGCGGCGCUGGGGCAGAGAAGCACUGUGCUGUGCUGAAGGCAUUGCGUGUGGACCAUAUGCUCUGUCCUUACAGUGCUCGGCAUGAAAAAGGAAGCAAGUCGCUGUCCGAAAGGCAGUGAGGUUGCUGUGGGGAUGAAGACCCUCUCUUCCUCUCAUCAGAUCAGUGGAUGUACUGCUGCAGGGCAGUAGGAGAAAGUGCAGCUGUUACAUCAGUGCAGUGACUGCAUGGUAGCGUGGACUGGAGAAAGAAAGGUGGAAGAAAGCAGAAGCUGUUUGCAUGAAAGUGUUCUAGGCGUGAAGAACUCAGCUGCCUCUUAGGGCCAGUUGAUGUGAGGUGCUUUGUGUGUGGGAGGCAGAAAAGACAGAAGCCAACUAGAGAUCUGCUGUGAGCUGCAGAAAUCUGGAGGUGCACUGUGAUGGCUUUACUGUGGGAAUACAAUUACUCUGUUGGAAGCUCGGUUGUCCUGCAGCCUUCUGGGGAUACAAAGCUCAGGUCUUUUCACUGACCAGUCCAUGAAGCUGCUUGCUUAGCUAAACAAAAUCUCAGGUAAUGGUUUUGGGAAAACAUGCUGUGGGAGCUCUUCAAUUCUGGCAGCCGUUGCAUCUGUUUCUGCUCUUUUUUCCAUGAUGUUUUUGUUUGUUUGUUGUUUUUUUUUCUUUUUCUUUUUAGAAGUUACAUAGCAGUGUAACAGCUUCAAGUUCAGCCAUGUGCCCUAAGUAAUGAGCUGUGUGAUAAUGAGUGAUGUGUGAUUCCUACUGGCUAACACGUUGGCUCAUGUUGACAAUUCAUAGUAGAUAACAGGGCUGUGUAAAUGUUACCUCUGAAUGCACUAUUAAGAGGCAAUGUUUUUAUGGAGCAAGGUGCAAUUGCAGCAGAGAGCAGUGAUUUGUAUGAAAUAGUUUGUCCAUUGAGCUCAUGUCACUGGCAGAAGGAAACUAAUGAAGUGCAAGCUAGUGAAAUGCAGUAACUAGAAGCUGUGAGUAAGAAUGCUAACUGUAUGUAAAACUUUCUCUUCUAGAUCCUGCCAUUGAUGACCAAACCUCCCUGAAAUCUUCUUAUCAGUUGCUGCCAAGAUGAGAAGGAUAGCAGGAAAGAGGAGUGUGUUAUUGCUCUCACUAAGCAAGGAAGUUGAACUGUUUUCCUGAGCACACCCAGAAUUAAUUCAGCCCAAGCUGAUCAUGUUAUCACAUGCUGGUUACUGCUGGCCCGGGUCAUUCUGAUGGAAGAGCAGGAAGCACACAGACCAGCUGCACCAAUGGCUUACCUGGGAAGGGGUGUCACCAACAGGGGAGUUGUGGAGCUGGUGGUGGUUUGGUGUUUUCAGCAGGUGCAGCUGCAUCUCUAAGCUCGCGGUGUGGAGCACCCUGCCAAGCACACUGCUCCUCUGAGCUGCAGUGAGAAGUGGAUGACCAGUGCUGCACACAGCUAAGCACACAGCCUUAUCAGCAAGCGUGCUUUAGGUAGGUACGGGUGCAAAGUGCUUUCCUGAAGGAGCAGGCAGGGGUGGAAAAUAUCGGAAGGCCAGGUUCUUCUGCUGUGACUCCUUACAGCAAGCCCAGCGCCGGGCUGACACUGUCAGCAGCAGCCACACCUCUGCCAGCCCCAGACGGUGCCAGGUGGGUGGAAGCCUGGGAUCAGUGGGAAGGGACACAGCAGGGAAGGCAAACAUGCUGUUGUUUUCUGAACGCUUCCAGGUUAAAGCACGGCCAUCUUCAUCUCCACGCUGAGAGAGAGGAAGUCGCAGAGUCACACUGUUGAGCAGCACAGAGGCUGGAGCUAUUUGGCUUAAGACCAUCAUGCUUUCACUUCCGUAUUUUGGGACAUUUAAACUGUUAAACUCUAAGCACUUUUCAGGCAUUACGUUUGACUUACUGUUAUUACGUACAAUAAAAUAUAACAGAACACAAUAUUAAAGUCUGUGCCAAAAGAAUAUUAUUUGGUGGCUACAAAUAAAGAAUGCAGACAAGUUUUUAAGAUCUGUUUGGGUUUUCAUUUUUUUGCUAAUUCUUUAAAGGAAGUGUUGUAAUUAUUAGCAUUAUUUUUAAUACAGGAAAAAAAAGUGUUCCUUACUGGGAAGUGUAAGAUACAGUAGUAUACUGUUGUCUUAUAUUUCUAGGGCUGUAUUAAAUAAACUGAAAAUAUACACUUGUUAAU
Molecule: long non-coding RNA, 2429 nt
Organism: Lagopus leucura (white-tailed ptarmigan)
Lineage: Eukaryota; Metazoa; Chordata; Aves; Galliformes; Phasianidae
Exons: 7
Source: RefSeq, a predicted model, not a curated record